RNAcentral lists this ribosomal RNA (251 nucleotides) under uncultured prokaryote. RNAcentral's name for it is "partial 16S ribosomal RNA". It matches the Rfam family "Bacterial small subunit ribosomal RNA", at positions 525 to 775 of the family's 1533-position model. The record is from RNAcentral.
ACGUAGGAGGCGAGCGUUAUCCGGAUUUACUGGGCGUAAAGGGCGUGUAGGCGGCACGGUAAGUCAACCGUGAAAGCUCCCGGCUAAACUGGGAGAGGUCGGAUGAGACUGCCGAGCUAGAGGGUCGUAGAGGGGUGUGGAAUUCCGGGUGUAGUGGUGAAAUGCGUAGAGAUCCGGAGGAACACCAGAGGCGAAGGCGACACUCUAGGCCGCACCUGACGCUGAGACGCGACAGCACGGGGAGCGAACGG